RNA transcript from Panicum virgatum (switchgrass), 1818 nucleotides. It is a transcript of the gene named elongator complex protein 4-like, with no coding region annotated. The transcript is spliced from 9 exons. The record is from RefSeq and is a predicted model, not a curated record. NCBI's taxonomy places the organism in Eukaryota, Viridiplantae, Streptophyta, Magnoliopsida, Poales, Poaceae.
GGUAAUGGGGCCCAGGGGCGCAGAGGAAUCGAAACGGAAACCAUCAUCGCCGCCGCCGCCGCCGCCAUGGCCGCCGCCGGUGGCCAAACCCUCGGCCGGAGCAGCUUCUCCCGCGCCACAUCCAACCCGGCUGCCUCCUCUUCCGGCGCCACCGGCGUCAAGCUUAGCCCGAACGGCGUCGCCUUCGUCUCCUCCGGCAUCCCCGACCUGGACAGGAUUUUGGGUGGUGGAUUCCUUCUAGGCUCAGUUGUAAUGAUCAUGGAGGACAAUGAUGCACCACAUCACCUUCUGCUUCUUCGCUGCUUCAUGGCACAGGGUGUUGUGCACAAGCAGCCCCUGCUCUUUGCAGGGCCUAUGAAGGAGCCACGGUUGUUCCUUGGUACUUUACCUGCUCUGGUUUCAUCUUCAAAGGAGGAUGGGCGACACAUAGCGAUGGGGGCCGGGGCAAGUAGUGAUGGACGAGCAAAUGAUGAGGGAUUGAGGAUAGCUUGGCAGUACAAGAAAUACUUUGGAGAUGAGAAGACUUCUCGUGCUGAGCAUAAAGACAAUAAGCAGGAAUUUAGCAAUGAUUUUGAUUUGAGGAAGCCCCUGGAAAGGCAUUUACUUAAUGGGCAGAAUAUUGAAUGCGUAAGCACUCAAGAAGCAGACACUCUAAGCAACCUCCAGGAUCGUUGUUCUGCUUUCUUAUCCAAGCUCCCAAGUUUGGUUCUACUACCAUGCCCUGUGCCUAGUAUUGAUUCCGGACCUCUUUCGUUUUUCGCAUUCAGAAAAGAUGGUGGAAGUUUAACUGCUGGGAGAAUUGCUAUACAAUCACUCUGUGCACCGCAUUGUGGAUACUUUGAGAAGGACUGGGACAUGGUCUCAUUUAUCAGAUCAGUGAAGGCCAUGGUGCGGUCAUCUAACUCAGUCGCUGUUAUAACAUUUCCGAGCACGGUUCUAUCAAAUUCAUUCUGUAAGAGAUGGCAGCACCUGGCAGAUACACUGCUGUCGAUCAAAGCAAUUCCAGAUGAGGACAAAGACUUGGCAAAACUCCUCACAGGAUACCAAGAUAUGGUUGGUUUUUUGCACGUCCACAAGGUGGCGCAAACUAAUAGCCAGGUCCCUGUGAUCUUAGAGGCGUCCACACUUUCUCUGAAGCUGCGAAAGAGGAGGUCGCUGGUGCUAGAACGGUUGAAUCAGGCUCCAGUGGACGGGUCAAGUGGGCCUUCUGCUGCUGCAUCUGGCAGUUGCUCGUCGUCACAAGGCCGACAGCUUGAUUUCUAGUUUGGAUUCAGAUGGUAUGGCCGGUUCUACGAAGAGGAGCUCGGCAGUGUUUUGUACUUGUUACUCUGGGUAAAAUGCAACCUUAGGAGGCUCAGGUUUUAGAUAGGAGGCAGUUUGAUGGUUCCCCCGUUAGUGUAUCUAUCAGCUUGUUGUACACCACUUUCAAUAGCAUUCGAACAGGCUAAAGUUGUAUAUUACUAUCUCCUGAUGGAAGUUGAAGAAUUAAUGGUCUUCAUGAAGAGGAAACUCGAGGAAGGAGCUAUGACCGACUGCAUAUGUAAUGCCAAAUGCAAAUGGCAGUUUCAGGCUUUCAACAAGACUCAGAAUCUUCAUACAGAAGCACAGAAGCAUGAGAUACCAAGACAUAACACAUGCCUAGGAUGGCAUAAACAGUCGACCAAAUAGGAAAUCUAGUCUAUCUUCAUAUAAUUGUAUAUUUAAGACAUCUGGAGAUGAUUGGGAAGUAGAAGUACAGAAUCCGAGAUGCAGAGUUGCAGAAGAUAGAGAUAUUUACAGAUGUUUAGAUAAAACAUUUUAGGCCUAAAUAUGCACAAC